Long non-coding RNA from Homo sapiens (human), 613 nucleotides. Ensembl annotates it as PDZRN3 antisense RNA 1. Its record names the gene PDZRN3-AS1. NCBI's taxonomy places the organism in Eukaryota, Metazoa, Chordata, Mammalia, Primates, Hominidae. The record is from Ensembl.
UUUUUUUUUCUGGAAUCCUAGAGGAUGCACGGAUACAAUUCACCCAAUGUGUCCAUCUCUCCUCUCCUAAGUGUCAGUCUAUAGGUUUCUGACCUCUAGAGGAAUCCCUGAAGCUGUACAGCUAUACUUUACCGGUUACGUCUAGACUAUAAAGGACCACAGUGUUCCACCUCAGGCAGGUUCAGCGACCUGCAAGUAGUGAUACAGCUGGGAAAGUUACAGAGCCUGCGGGAAGCUCCGGCUGCAACUUCAGUUCUGACCAGAGGUUCUGUGAACCUUCAGGAUUUAGCAGGUUUCCAGGACCGGCUAUAGACAUUCCUAAGAAACACGCAGUCAGCUUUUGGUGAGAGUGGAAUCAAGCUAUGGAAUUCUCAUUUGGAAUCUGCUUCCAGUUUCUGAACAGUGAAGCGGGAGAGUUCUGAACAGUAAAGCAGGAGCUCUGUAUUCAGCGAGACUCUGGGGCCUGGAAAGUGGGAUUACAGCAUCCAUUUUGUCUAAUUGCUUUCCUUCUUUCUUUUAUGUGGCUGCUAAAGCCCCAUGACCUUCACUAUUUAACUGCUUCAUCAGAGUGAAAGAAUUGCCUUGAUGUUCAUAAGGAUUACUUGUUUCACAC